Molecule: ribosomal RNA, 482 nt
Filed under: uncultured bacterium
Lineage: Bacteria
Description: partial 16S ribosomal RNA
Rfam family: Bacterial small subunit ribosomal RNA
Source: RNAcentral
AUUGAACGCUGGCGGCAUGCCUUACACGUGCAAAUCGAACGGUAACGGGCCUUCGGGUGCCGACGAGUGGCGAACGGGUGAGUAAUACAUCGGAACGUGCCCGAUCGUGGGGGAUAACGAGGCGAAAGCUUUGCUAAUACCGCAUACGAUCUACGGAUGAAAGCAGGGGACCGCAAGGCCUUGCGCGGACGGAGCGGCCGAUGGCAGAUUAGGUAGUUGGUGGGAUAAAAGCUUACCAAGCCGACGAUCUGUAGCUGGUCUGAGAGGAUGAUCAGCCACACUGGGACUGAGACACGGCCCAGACUCCUACGGGAGGCAGUAGUGGGGAAUUUUGGACAAUGGGCGCAAGCCUGAUCCAGCCAUGCCGCGUGCAGGAUGAAGGCCUUCGGGUUGUAAACUGAUUUUGUACGGAACGAAAAGCCUUCUUUUAAUACAGGAGGGUCAUGACGGUACCGUAAGAAUAAGCACCGGCUAACUACGUG